GGCGGCGUAGCUCAGUUGGUUAGAGCGAGCGGCUCAUAAUCGCUAGGUCGCUGGUUCGAGUCCAGCCGCCGCCA
Molecule: transfer RNA, 74 nt
Filed under: Planctomycetota bacterium
Lineage: Bacteria; Pseudomonadati; Planctomycetota
Also listed under: 2 other names
Description: tRNA-Met
Rfam family: tRNA
About the family: Transfer RNA (tRNA) molecules are approximately 80 nucleotides in length.
Source: RNAcentral